Non-coding RNA from Acanthosepion pharaonis, 116 nucleotides. NCBI's taxonomy places the organism in Eukaryota, Metazoa, Mollusca, Cephalopoda, Sepiida, Sepiidae. The record is from the annotation of a GenBank genome assembly.
UUACGACCAUAUCACGUUGAAACCCCGGUUCCCGUACGAUCACCAAAGUUAAGCAACUGGUCGAGACUGGUCAGUAUCUAGAUGGGUGACCGCUUGCGAAUACUAAGUGCUGUAAG